RNAcentral lists this long non-coding RNA (624 nucleotides) under Nicotiana benthamiana. RNAcentral's name for it is "long non-coding RNA (NBEN_LNC005061)". Lineage: Eukaryota; Viridiplantae; Streptophyta; Magnoliopsida; Solanales; Solanaceae. The record is from RNAcentral.
UACAAUGCAAAUUCAGGAUGUGCGGUAUACCUUUACAAUUAAUGUUGAACUCCAAUAGGCCAAAGAUUAGCUAUGGAAAAAUUAGACUUAACGGCAGGAUCAAGCUCAGGAAGGUAAUAAGACUAACACAUGAGUCCCAAUUUAGCACAAUAGGUAGAGCUACAUCAUCAAGCAAUAAAGGAACUGAGUCUACAACUCGUAAAUAUUAAAUUAGUCGACCCUUGUCACUACAUGAUGUAAAACAACCGUGAUAAAAUAAGGGAUGAUCUAAUUUGAACAGCUUGUAUUGCUCAAAAUUUUGCUUGACAUAGGGAAGAGAAAUACCUAGAAAAUGCAAAGAUAAAAUGGGUGUGAGCAGUCAGCAAAGGCAGCAGGAAUCAGUAAUUAGACAACCAAGGUGAACCCAGGCCCAGUAAUUUAUCACAACGAGUUCAGCAAGGAAACAAAACCAAAAUCGUAAUAUGCAACCAGCUUGCACCCAAAAACAACCUCCGGACAACUAAUAUCAAUGCACACUAAGUCUCAAAUGAACCAUAGAUUAUUUCACAGCUUGAAAGCACCAGUAGUCAGCGAAAACCAAUGAAAUAGUAAUAAUUGACUAAUUGUAUAUAUGUUUAGCUCUGG